This 1243-nucleotide ribosomal RNA is filed under the name metagenome. RNAcentral's name for it is "bacterial LSU rRNA". It matches the Rfam family "Bacterial large subunit ribosomal RNA", at positions 1564 to 2817 of the family's 2925-position model. The record is from RNAcentral.
UGAAUACGAGAUGCUACGGCGUCGAAGCAGUCUAUGUCAUACUUCCAAGAAAAGCUUGCACUGUCACAAACAAAUAAUGCCUGUACCAUAACCGACACAGGUGGGUAGGUAGAGUAUACUAAGGGGCGCGAGAUAACUCUCUCUAAGGAACUCGGCAGAAUGACUCCGUAACUUCGGGAGAAGGAGUGCCUUAUUUAUAAGGUUGCAAUAACAAGACCCAAGCAACUGUUUAUCAAAAACACAGGUCUCCGCUAAGUCGUAAGACGAUGUAUGGGGGCUGACGCCUGCCCAGUGCCAGAAGGUUAAAGAAGUUGGUUAGCAUUAGCGAAGCUGAUGACUGAAGCCCUGGUGAACGGCGGCCGUAACGAUAACGGUCCUAAGGUAGCGAAAUUCCUUGUCGGGUAAGUUCCGACCCGCACGAAAGGCGUAAUGAUUUGGGUACUGUCUCAGAGAGGGACUCGGUGAAAUAGACUUGUCUGUGAAGAUGCGGACUACCUGCACCUGGACAGAAAGACCCUAUGAAGCUUUACUGUAACCUGAAAUUGAAAUUGGACUUUAUUUGCGCAGUAUAGGUGGGAGGCUUUGAAGAUAUUCUUGCGGGAAUGUUGGAGCCAUCAGUGAGAUACCACUCUUGUAAUGUUAGAUUUCUAACUUUGUAUCAUUAUCUGGUCAAAGAACAGUUUCAGGCGGGCAGUUUGACUGGGGCGGUCGCCUCCUAAACGGUAACGGAGGCGCACAAAGUUUCCUCUGAACGGGUAGAAAUCGUAUCUAGAGUGUAAAGGCAUAAGGAAGCUUGACUGUGAGACCUACAAGUCGAGCAGGGACGAAAGUCGGUCUUAGUGAUCUGACGGUGCUGAGUGGAAAGGCCGUCACUCAACGGAUAAAAGUUACUCUAGGGAUAACAGGCUGAUCUCCCCCAAGAGUUCACAUCGACGGGGAGGUUUGGCACCUCGAUGUCGGCUCAUCGCAUCCUGGGGCGAUAGUACGUCCCAAGGGUUGGGCUGUUCGCCCAUGAAAGCGGUACGCGAGCUGGGUUCAGAACGUCGUGAGACAGUUCGGUCCAUAUCCGGUGUAGGCGUUAGAAUAUUGAGAGGAGCCUUCUCUAGUACGAGAGGACCGAGAAGGACACACCUCUGGUGUACCAGUUAUCGUGCCAACGGUAAACGCUGGGUAGCUAUGUGUGGAGCGGAUAACCGCUGAAAGCAUCUAAGUGGGAAGCCCACCUCAAGAUAAGUAUUCUCAC